CCGACCUUAGCUCAGUUGGUAGAGCGGAGGACUGUAGUGGGACCUACCCCUUGGCCAUCCUUAGGUCGCUGGUUCGAAUCCGGCAGGUCGGA
RNAcentral lists this transfer RNA (92 nucleotides) under Nelumbo nucifera (sacred lotus). It matches the Rfam family "tRNA". From Rfam's summary of the family: Transfer RNA (tRNA) molecules are approximately 80 nucleotides in length. Their secondary structure includes four short double-helical elements and three loops (D, anti-codon, and T loops). The record is from Rfam by way of RNAcentral. Lineage: Eukaryota; Viridiplantae; Streptophyta; Magnoliopsida; Proteales; Nelumbonaceae.